GUAGCAGUAGUGGUUUCCGGAUUAGUAUUGUAGCAGUUGUAUGUGGUGGUAGUGGUGGUGGUGGUGGUCCACGGGGGGGCAGGGGGGACAGGAGCAGUAGUCAGGUUGGUGAGGGGCAGGUCGCAGCAGGUCGGGGCGGGGCGACACAGAGGUGAUCAGGGUGGGAGGGUCGGGAGGCAGAGGAGCAGCGGGAAGGGUAGGGGGAGGGGAGGGGCAGGGUAGGGGUAUGUGAUUGAGGUGAGUUAGGCUGGAGGGAGGGGCGGAGGGGCGGCACUGAAGUGACCCCAACAGGAGGGGAAGGAGAGGCGGGGACUGAGGUGAGUCGAGCGGGAGGGGCGGGACUGAGGUGAGCCCGGCGGGAGGGGCGGGAGGGGCGGGACUGAGGUGAGCCGGGCCGGGGCGGGAGGGCGGUGCACCGGUGUGGCGCGGUGGCCGGACGCCCCACAAUCAAUACGGCCCACGCCCCUGGGCGGACCCACGGCAGCAGCACCGCCGCCACACCGCCCAGCCACCGCCCAGACCCUGCCAGCGCCGCGGCGGCCGAACACGCGCUGCCGCUGCUCCGCACAGGGCACAGUCUUUUAUGUUGUUUGUGUUUGUUGUCAGGCUUUUGUACGGUUUGUUGGAAACUGCACCUGGCUCGCCAGAUCUACCACCCACUCUCUCGCACCACCACACCCACGACAGCACCAACACUGACUGUUUACUUGCCGCUUUACGGACGCACCGCAUUCUGACUUGAGUUAAUGUGUUUUUCCUUUACGUGUGUUGCACCACGACAUCUGCUGGCUCCACGGCCAGCGGCACCUGCACCUUGCACCUGCACCACUUGCACCUCCACCACCACAACCACCUCCACCACCACCUAAGCCACUACCACCUCACGUGCACCGCGCCCCGGCAACGCCCACCGUCAGCCCCGCUCCUGACAGCGGCAGCAGCAGCAUCAGUAGCAGGAGCAGCGUGCACCUCAGCCUGGUGGGGGCGUCAAUAGUGAAGUAAGGGGGCGGGUGGGAGACGCGCUCCUUAAAGCUGCAGUCACACACCCCCACGCGGCAGGGCCCCGACACGCCACUCCCGCCCCUACGCAGUCCCGCCGCGAGGACCGCCUCUCCCUGCACCACCUGGCUCAUAUUGAUUGUGAUACCUGAAUGUGAUGAGUGAAUAAUUGCCCCAAUAACACCUGCUCGCACACUAUGUAAUGUCUGACCACACCACCACUGAUAUGCACGCGCAAUGAUGAAACUGUAAACGUCUUCCUUCAUAAUAUUAGUCAAGAAAACCAACCCAGGAUCACUCGUUAAGAAGCACAACUGCCACGUUUGUAUCUUCCAGUGACGCACACGUUAAAGUACCGCACACACAUCCGUGGCUCCCUAGUGUAGGAAUGAUCCCGUCUGUCCCAGGAGAAAAAGCCUGACACGAGGCAAGAGACCGUCUGAUGAGGGCGGGGAGCGAGCCACGACAAACACUUGAGGCGCCGUGAGAGCCACGCCGCCACACCUGCCACACUCCACCUCCCUGGCACCCCGCCGCCAGGCACUCGCUCACCAUGGCACUCGCCGGACGCCGCGGCCCACCACAUCUUAUGCACCUCACAACGCGAGGGAAAUGAGCGGUCCUUGCUGGCCUGUUCCAAGUCUUCCCCCUCACGUGUCCACUUGUUUGUCUGCCGGGAGUCCUCGGCGAGUCGCUCUGAUUAGCGUGACCACAAACCUCAUAAUACGAUAGGCAGCCCGACACAAGGGACUCGCUUCCUGUGCACGUCCAGGAGCGUCAGCGUCUUCCUCACCCACACUGCUGACAUUCUUCCAUUACAUGACAUAAGGUAUUUCCUCCAAGGCUUCCUGACAAGACUUCCCCCGCACGCACGCAGCACGCACACCACCACCACCACCACCACAGGGCCGCGAUGCUACAUGUCCCCACAAAGUAAACACAGCCUCUUCCCUCCCCGCAAGUUGGAUGCUGAGACGCACACUUGUCAACACUUCAGCUUGGAAUGAUGAAGAGGAAUGAAACUGUCAACAUUUUUUCCUUCGCCUCACGCAGAAGUUUGAGAGGCGCCCUGUAAUAUUUGUAAGCUUUUGUUACAUGACAAGGAGGCGAUCGGGACAUUUUCCUGUGGGAGCUCAAAUCUGGAAGCCGCAAGAGGCUGUCUAGUAGUAGAUCAAAUUUUGUAGUGUGAAGGAAAUUUUUGUUAUUUCCUGUGAAAUAUUUUUGAUUACCUGAUUGGAAAUACUAUAUACAAGUAGAUUUACUGUACCUCUAUAAGUUUGUGUAGCGUGUAUGAUAGAUCUAUAUGCUAGAGAGUAAGCACACAGUAGACAUUGAAAGCUAUUUUGUAACACUGAACAAAAGCCCGAGGAGACAGGCGCUGGCAGGGGACUGAAGUAAACAUUUGAAACCCACUCAAAGCCCUGAACUCUGAAAAAAAAAGAAAAAAAUUGCUUCUGGCUUAACAUACGUAGCUUUCCGCAACUUAAGGGUGUGAAACUUGGCUUCCAAGAGUUAAGUGGCCUUAGACACAGCUGUAAGUGGAUUACUGAAGUUCAUCAACGCACUUAUGCACAGGUCUUGUGCCGGAAAUUGCCGAGUAUUGCGAGUGCACGCAAGAAAUGUUUUCUGUUUAGUAUAGUGUGGCAGCCAUGCUCCCAAGACCCGCGUGAACGAUGAGUACCUGUGCUGAAGCCCCGUCGAAAACCAGGAAGAGGAGAGUGGAAAGACCCCCUACAAAAUGGAAGGGACAGGGAGAAGGACCCGAGGACGAUGCUUCGCCGGAUUCCACCACGACGGACGAGCUCGCCGAAAAACUAAAGGUGAGUGGAGUUCAUUAACGGCAUUCUCAGCCAGGUGAGGCCCUCCAGCCUGGCUACAGAGGUCAAAGGUCACAGUGAAGGUAAAGUGUUGCUGCAUUUUGUGUAGAGAGGUAUGAGAG
RNAcentral lists this long non-coding RNA (2938 nucleotides) under Portunus trituberculatus (swimming crab). Its description in RNAcentral is "uncharacterized LOC123507540". The record is from RNAcentral. Lineage: Eukaryota; Metazoa; Arthropoda; Malacostraca; Decapoda; Portunidae.